GGAGUCGGGAGAGCAGCGUGCGUUCCUUCCUCUUACUUCCUCCCCGCCCUGCCGCGCUCCCGGGGCUUUGGGCCUCUGCCUUCCCGGGAGCAGCCGCGUUGCCUCCGCCGGGGAGGGGGGCGGUUAUGGGUGGGGGAGGGCGGGGGAGUCACGCUGUAGCCUGGGUCUGACCUCCCCAUGCCCCCUGGUGGUGGUGAAAGGGAACCGCGCUUCCCUUGUGCGACAUGUGCUGCUCCAAGCUCCAUGAGGGUGGUAGGGAGCUCAUGUCGAGCUUUGGGUGUUUCCGCCUUUUAAAUUUUCAGUCACCAAGCCUGAAGCCCAGGUCUGGGGGAUUCGAGAAAAAAAUUGGUUUACUGCUGUUGGCUAUUUACAUUCACCCCCCCUCCCCCAAAGAAAAGAUCUUGUUAUUCAGAAACUAGCAGCACUCCAGCUUAGGGAAGCAUGGGCUAGAAGCCACGAGGUCUGGACUGGGGGAGGGGCACUGAAGAGUGCCUUUACUUUUAGCUACUUUACAUUCCAAAAGAAGAAAAUAGAAUACCAGUAAUUAGGAGUCUUGCUUAAUUGCCUUUCUGAAGUACAAUGAAUUAAUAUUUUAUAUCGCUUAAACCCACUUUGUUUUGUAUGUUUUAACUGCCCUAAUCCCUCUUACUAUAACUUCAGUCCAAGUUUUUACAGUUCCAGUAAGUUGGAAGAUCAAGGUUGAAGCUAAAAGAAAUGGCUAAGUAUGGGAUGGGGUUAAGGAAAGAGUGUACUCUGGAAGCUAAUAGUUUACAAGUGAUAUUUUCUUCAAAGUUUUUUCUUCAAUGCCUUAGUAAAGAAAAUUUUCAUUUUUUAUUUUCAGCACACCUGAUAAAAGUAAAAAAAUUCUUGUUUCGAGGAAACUUGAAAGGAAUUAUAUGAAUGAGUUGGGUAAGUAUUAACAUUUUUAUUUACAAUUGCCUUAUUUGUUGGAAAGUCUAAAAUUAGAAUAAAUCGAAACUCUUCAGCUGAUUUUUGUUUCUGCUAGUAGUCAAGUAAAAUCCUUAAUAAAGUUCCAUAAAAGAUGUUCUUUAAUAUCUUCGUUGUCAACUAAUCAUUCAAGUUUAAAAUCAUUUUAUGUAAAAGCAGUUAUUUGACUCGUGUAUAAUUGAGAAUCUUGGUAUAUAAGAGGAUCCUCAAACUUAUGAAAAAUGCUGUUUAUCCACAAAUUGAACAUAACAUGCUUGUUUUAGCCAUUCUUAAAAAAUUUAAUUUCAUUAUUUAGAUAAGAUUUCAUUGAAUUAGAAGCACUUUGUUUUCUUGCAUGAGCCACUUUUUCCUACUGUACUCAGAUAUUUGUUUUGUGGGAGUAACUAACAUAAGUUCAUAAUCUUCUGGUCUUUAGGUAUGUUACAGGAACUACUGAGGCCAUUUAAUUUUCUAAAAUUUUGCUGAUUUUUGUGGUGUCUAAACUUUAGUUGAUGGUAUCUUGGUUUUGAUAGAAAAUACUGUAUAUUUUUUUGUCUUAAGUACAUGUACAGGUUACAGGUUUUUUUUUUCCAGGUCAUAAUUACCUGACUGGUAUUGAGGUGUGAGGCAAAAAGCAUAAUAUUUUUCUGUAUCUGGAAUUAAUAUAUUUCACAUGGAACUUUUUAUCCUGUUUUAUCAUGGUUAAGCUUUUUACAUUUGUGUUUUUUCCCCAUCAAGCAGGUAUGGAGAAAUCUAAAUCAUGUUAUAACUGAAGAUAGUAACCGGUCAGAAUAAUGUCAAAGUGCUUACAGUGCAGGUAGUGAUAUGUAGAAUCUACUGCAGUGAAGGCACUUGUAGCAUUAUAGUGACAGCCGCCUCUGGAACUGUAGGUGGGAUUUAAUGUUACAUGUUAUACUGGUGUCAAGUGCUUUUUGUUCUAAGGUGCAUCUAGUGCAGAUAGUGAAGUAGAUUAGCAUCUACUGCCCUAAGUGCUCCUUCUGGCAUAAGAAGUUAUGUUUUCAUCCAGUAAUUCAAGCCAAGCAAGUAUAUAGGUGUUCCAAUAGCUUAUUGUUUGCAGUCCUCUGUUAGUUUUGCAUAGUUGCACUACAAGAAGAAUGUAGUUGUGCAAAUCUAUGCAAAACUGAUGGUGGCCUGCUAUUUCCUUCAUCAAGAGGUUUUGAAUAAUUUUUGUCCUUUUUAUUGCUGCAAUGUAGAAGUCUGCCCAGUGUAUUUGAAAGGACAGCUUUUGUAGCACUAAAGUGCUUAUAGUGCAGGUAGUGUUUAGUUAUCUACUGCAUUAUGAGCACUUGAAGUACUGCUAGCUGUAGAACUACAACUUCAUCGCAUCUACCCAUCGAACUUUUAAUUGAGCACUGUUCUAUGGUUAGUUUUGCAGGUUUGCAUCCAGCUGUAUGAUAUUCUGCUGUGCAAAUCCAUGCAAAACUGACUGUGGUGGUGGAAAGUCAGUAGAAAAAUAUGUGGAAAAGUCAAACCCCUUUCUACACAGGUUGGGAUCAGUUGCAAUGCUGUGUCUGUCUGUAGUAUUGCACUUGUCCCGGCCUGUUGAGUUUGGUGGGGAUUGUGGCCGAGCGAUAUUGAAAUGAGUUAUUGAAGAUAAUAUCCACAGUAAAAUGAUCUUAAAGUACUUGGAGCACGAGCCUACAUUGGAUGUUCCUGUGGUGGUGACAUUGGCUUUACAUUAAUGUGCUAUUUCAGUGUCCCAAGUUGUAUUUGACUACAGAACUGAAAACUGUUUAGAGUUCAAAGUUAAUCUUUAUAUCUGGGUUAAUAUGGGUUCUUGGGUUUUAAUGUGCAUGUUUACUAACUGUAAGACUUCAUGAUUUUGAAAGAAGUACCUAAUAGGGGAUAAGUUUAAUUAAGGUAAGUCCUUAUCUUUGCAACAUCCUCAUUGAAGGGUUAUCUGGCUAUAUAAAGACAGGUGAUUACACUUAUACUGAAAUUACAUUUAAAUUGAAAUGGUUUUUAAAAUAUUUUGAGGAAAAGGUCCUAUUUUGAGUGCUGAUUAAGCUUGGUGUUAAGUAUUUCCUAUAUUGGUAACUUCCAGGCUUACUGGUUAUCUUCAAACAGUACAAAAACUGCUUUAAGAUAUGGUUAGUGUGGAGGUGCUACAUGUUGAAUCCUAAGACUAUAACUUUUCCACAAUGUCAACUCAGUUCCCUAAUAUCUUCAAAACCUUGAAGAUUAACCUGGACAGUUUUACAUUGGUUUAGUGGCAAGAAUCAUCUGAUUUGGCAUCAAAUACUAGACUGAAAAUCCUAUUCCAUAUGCUGCUCUGGUAGGGUAUAGGAAAGCUUGAAAUUUAUCAAAUCUUCAUGACUUAACAUGACAACUAAAUUUUUAUGUAAGGUACCUGGAGAGUUAAGUGUUAUGUUUUCUAGGAAUAAUAAUUUUAUUUAAAGGCUUCAAGUUGAUGUGAUGUUGAGCAUACACAAGCAAAAAAGGGUAGUCCAGUUAAAAGUUGUCACUUUUGUAUAGUUGUAAUGUACAUUUUUCCAAAUACUUUAAAAAAGUAAGAUGGGAGUUGCAUAUGUGUGCCACUCCAUUUCCAAUUGGCUUGUUAAAAUUAUAUGCCAAAAUAGGUCUUCUCAUUAGUGCUGCUUUGGAUCUGAAUAAAAGUUACAAGAUGAUUGUUGGGGAGGGAAUUGGUUGCUAUUCAGAUAUUUACUGAUUCCAUAUAUUUACUGCUUCGUUUCACAAAUUAUAUCUUCAUUGUUUUAAUAUUGGUUUCAGAGAACAUAUCACUUAAAUAUUGACAAAAUUGUAACCUUUAAACAGCAGUAAUUUGGAAAUCUAAUGGGCUAUAAUAGGUAAGUGCUUUUGAAAUGUUAAGGUAAGUUUGUGGGACAACUAAUUGAUGUCUGAUACCAAAUAAAUACCUUUUUACUCUAGGAUUAGAGUAAGGAUUUUAUAGAGUUAGGAUUGAAUAAUGGGAAGUACACAUUAAAGCCAAACUAAAAUAAACUUAAAACUCUUCUGAUAGAAUCUAGAAACUAGUUUUUUCUGAACCUUUGAAACCAUGAGUAUUACUAAAGAUAGUAUUUAAAAUCAAGUGCUUAGCAAAGAACUGAAUUAAUGUAUAAGUAUUCAGACUAAUAAUAUCCAGGAAGAAAAUUAAAUGUUGAUAGGUUUGCGCACAGUUUUCCCCUUCUCCCCUUCGGUAUCCAAAAUAAUUCUUGACUAGUUUUAUUAAGGUGGACUGAUUUCCUUCUCAUUAGGCAUUAUCUAGUUGUGAUGCUUAACCAUGCUUCAAAGUAAAGGCAAUUUGGGAAUUUUAUUCCCACCUGUUGAUGAUUUAUUUAUCCUAUAGUAAUAGUUAUCUGCAUGGUAAGUCGAUAAAAGAGAACAAGCAUAAUUUCAAAUAAUAAGUUGUAUUUCUUUGUGUAAGUCAACCUUAAAAUGUAUGGUCCCAGUAUGUAGUAUCUGCUAAUAAAAAGCAGAACUUGAAGUCAGAAAUAUUAUGCCUUUUUAGAGUACCUAACAUGAUAAUUUUUAAAGAAAUUUCUAUUGGCUUUUGAGGGAAAUUUGUGUUUGAAAAGGUAAAUACUGACUAAAUUCUUGAAGAUGGGAGAGCAAUUUAAAAAUUGCACUUAUACUUUGAAAGCAUCCUGUUUUCACAGUGAUUUAUUGGGGAGGGAGAUAUCUAAAUAUAAAGGAGAGGAAGGGGAAGGAUUUGGGUAUGCUUGAUCAUAAACAGCAUACUAUUCUUGGGUUCUCUAUAGUGCUGUUAGGUUUUUAUGGUUCAAUUUCUAUCCAUUCACAUAAGCCUCAUUUGAAUUUUUUAAAGCAAAUUUUUGAAUAUUCUCUGCAAUCUUUAAGAAGACACCUAUUCUAAGUUUUAAAUGUUGGAAACUAAAAAACUAAAAAAUGCUAUGUUUGAAGUUUGAACUGUAUGUCCUAAAAGAUAAUUUAAAUCUCAAGUAUUUUAUAUCAAUUAUUACAAAUGGAGGCCUUUAGAAAAUUGCUAUUGAUAAAAAGAUGGGAGAGAAAAGGAGUCAGACCAAACUACUAAUGCUUAAAUUUUAAGUGAGUAUAUUGUGAACAAUUAUAUGUCAAGAAAUGUUCUUUCCACACAUUUUUAGUGUAAAUUAGCUCAAUUUGGUGUAUUAAUUUAAGAUGAUAAUGUGCAAUCCUUGUAAAAUGCUUAAAAUCACUAAGGUUUUAUGUUAAAGGACCAAAGAAAACUCCUGGUGUUCACAAUUGGGUAGUUUAAAGACAAAUGACAACCAGGAUGACAGGGCUCUCUCCAUGUGGCAAUUGGUGGCAGAAGAAAUAAGACUAUACAAGGCAGCUGGGUGGCUCAGUGAGUUGAGAGCCAGGCCUAGAGACAGGAGGUCCUCAUUCAAAUCUGAUCUCAAGACACUUCUUAGCUGUAUGACCAUGGGCAAGUAACUUAACCCACCCCCAUUGCCUAGCCCAGCAUUGGCUAAUAAAUAACCUUUUCUGAGUUCCAGUACCCAGAGGGCAAAUUCAAGCUCUGAGCCCCUAGAUUUCCAGAGAGAGCUAAGGGAGAAAGAGUUUGCUUUUUGGGUGGCUGGACAGAGGGACCAAGCCAUGCAAAAAAUGUCCUCAGAUAGCUGGGAAGAGGUAGAACAGAACAUCUCCCUGUGUGCUGGAUAUCUGACAACUCUCUGCCUAGCCUUUACUGAUCUGCCUUGGAACCAAUACACAGUAUUGAUUCUAAGAUGGAAGGUAAGGGUUUAAAAAAAAAAAGGAAAACGAGACUAAAGGAAUUAAAUUUUAGUCAGGUUCACCAUUCCUGUUUUACUCUCCUCAGAAUACUUUUCUCUGAAUUGUCCUGGGUUGGGAGUGAUCAGUCUUAAAUGAUCAUGAAGAGAGCAAAGGGGUAUCAGCACCACUGUUGAAAUGGCAUGAAAAUCACACUAGGUAUGAAAGGUGUGUAAUUAUAUUUUUGUUUCUGUUACAAUGGAUUUGAUAUGGGGUUGGCUUUAUUCCUAUAUUGAUUCCAAAAAUUAAGGAUAAAUAUUGAUUGAACUUAAAAAAAUAUGUUCUUAUUAGUAUGAUUAACAAAGAUUUGAACUGCAGGAAUAUACCAGGAUUUUUAGGUUAUGUUCUGUUAAUAGCUUUUAUAAUCCUCAGCAAAUAAAAUGGUCCAGUUUGAGUUUUUUGAAGAUCUCUUCUAGAAAUAAAACUUUUUGAUGUUGAAAAAAGUCACCCCCAUUGAAUGCCUGAUUAAAUGGAUCAAAUGAAUUGAUCUGAAACCUCGGUAAGUACCUUCCUCUGGAUCCUGGCAGGUUUUGGAUAGCUGAAUAAGAAAUUGGUUCAAAGCUUUGGUGCUUCAUAAAUAGACCAUGAAAAUGACAUAAUUUUACCAUUAUUAUGCUUUCAAUUAUUUGGAUGAGAUUUUCUUUUAUUUUUUGUACCUCAAUCCACAGCUUAUGUUGACAUAACUUAUUGGUAUUCAAGAUUUCAGUAAGUCACUUAGUUUAAUAAUAAUUAGGCUAUAUAUCAUGAAUCAUAGUUGAAACAAAUUUAAGUACUUGAAAAUUUCCAAAACGAUUCCCAUAAUCUCCCCAAUUUCAGUGAUCACAUUCAGUGAAUUCCUGAUAAGAGUCUAAAAUUUUGCAAUAAAUACCCAAUAUCAUCUGCAUUUGUUGUAGUUCUACCCCAAUUAUUCCAGUGGUUUUUGGUAUAUUGUCUUUUACAUCCCUGUGUACAGUUAAUGUGCUCUGGCUACCUUACCAAUCUUUAUUCUUUGGCUAGAAUCAGGUCUAUUUUUUCCCUUUUGUUUCCUGUUAGUAAUCUUAUAUUGGAGUUGCUUUGUUACUUGUGUUUUCAUGAACUUGUCAAGCAUCUUCAAGAUAUCCAGUUUUUCAACUCAAUUUUUGUCAAUUUUUAAAUAUUUUUACCAUUCUUCAGAUGUUUUAUUUGCUUUACUGUCAUAUAACAUAUAUUUGGAACUGGUCUUUUUAAUAACUUGUGCAAGCAUAUAUAUAUAUCUUCCUAAAUUUGCCAUACAUUCCCUAUUUACAGUAUGAAAUGCUAGUUUAAAAAAUUUUUAAACUUCAUUAUCAUACUCUUGACUUUUCCUUGUGCUCAAACUACAUCUGUGAGGCUUAAUUUGAGAUCAUCACAAUUAUUACCUGAAACUGAAGUACUAUUUGCCAAAAAUAUUGAUAUCUCUUAAUGAUAUUCUUAAAGGGCAUGUGGAAUUCAAUAAUAGUUUUAAAAAUGGAAAGUUUUAUACCUGUAUCUUAACUAAAUUAUUUUUGUACCCUAGUUUGGGAUACCAAAAACAUCAAUGAAGAGAAUUCAGGAUUUUUUACAGUGUAUGAUACGUGCUUACUCUUAAAGAAUUGGUAUUGCUCUUCUGCAUUGGUUGAGAUUUUUCUAAGUUGUCCACCUAUGAUAGGUCAAACCUUCCUCCCCCACCAAAGGAUAUUUACAUGGAACUUGGGAAUGGGAAUAAAAACCUGGCUUUGUGGCCUAUAUUUGCUUCCUUCCAAGUAUGACCUUGUGCCAAGUUAUUUAAAUUUCAUAAAGUUGUUUCUUCCUCAUCUAAAAAAUUAUUGUUCUUACUAGUAUUAGUGAGGUAAAUGUUGAUCCAUUUAAAAGUAUUUGGAAUGUUUUGCUUGUUAGAUUAAUUUUUACAACUCAUUAGGCAAUUAUACAUUAUUUAAAGUAUCUUGUUGGUUUUUCAUUUCCUUUCUAGAAAUAGAUGCUGAUCUCCAGAAUGUAUGUGUGAAGAUACUAAACACCAGAUAAAAAUAUGUACAGCUACAGUAUUUCUAUGAAUGAAUCUAUUCACAAGACAAGUGUAUGUGUGUCAAUAGUAGGAGAAAGGCUGGCAAUAGGAGAUAUAAAAGAAAUUUGGGAAAGUUUGGAAAUUUGAGUAUAAAAAUGCAGGAAAAAAUGUCCUUGCUGUGAUAGUCACAACCUCUCUGAACCUUUUUUUGGGGGUGUUUGCUCAGAUGAUCAUUCAAAAGCUUUGAAGUAGCUAUAAAAGUAGGUUUUUCCAAGUGAAAGAAAUGGUCUUAUAGUUGUUUGAUAUGAUCUUACUGAUUAUAUAUGUUGUCAAAUUUGUAUUUAUAUAAUCCAAAUGAAGAUUUUGGAUUGAAUUGGGAUGAAAAUGUUCUUCACUGUGUUCAACACAUAGACCAUACUGAGAGAUAAUAGUUUUGCACUUGCAGUUAGCCUUAUUGCAUUGUUACGUGUGCAUUGAGUUAGAAUUUUACUUUUAUUUUUACCAGGUAAAUGCUCUAAGAUAGACACAAAAAAAAUGCCAGAAUAGUUUUAAAUUUAUAUUCAAAGAGUAUUUUUUAAUAACUCCCCAAAUCAAUUUGAAAAGCAGUUUAAAAUUUUAAAAUGAUGCUUUGCUCAUGGCUAUUUGUAUAUAUCAAGGAACCUACAAAAUAAAAAAAAUCAUAGAUUUUAUUCAGACUAAAAGUAAGAUGCAAUUAUCCUACCAAGUUUGAUAAUAUUUGAAUAUAAUUCAAACUACAAUAAAAAUUUUAAUGGAAUUUUACCUUUUAGUCUUUUGUACAACUGGUCGCAGCAAAAGUAAUAAACUUCCAUACAGGUAGCAAGGCUUCAAAUCUGACUUUUUUGGCUAUAGGGUUACUGGCCUCCAUUUGCUUAUAUAAAAUGACAUCUCAAUGACCUAAAACUUCCUAUUACCUCUUAACAUUCUCAUUAUAGUCACCUUUCACCAUCCCUUUAUUAACUAAACUUUAGAAUAAUUAAAUCUUAAAAAUCUUAAAUAAUUACCUUAAAAUGAAGUACCUCCAAAUCUAUAUAAUCCAACUUAACAUUUUUUGUUAGGUCCAAAAUGGAGUCUUUUAUGCAGAGAAUAUCAAGUUAGGGCUUUUUGAUCCAGUAGGGGAGUGACUUGGAGGUAGAAUUCCCUAGAUUGAACAGAUUGUUGUAUCAAAUAGAUAUGUUCUAAACCUAGUUGAGUGGAAGAAUGGUGACUCCCAUAAAUAGCCACCUAGACCCUAAUGAGUUCUGUGCCUUCCUUUUGUUAAUAUUCUUUUCCAUUUUAUAAUAUAUCAAAGAAGUUAGUUAUGCUCCAUAAUCAUUAAAAUACUGUAGGGUUUGUUAGAAAAUAGCUAAAAUGGUAUAGGAAUGUAAAGAGGGCUAUUGUGCUGCAAAAACUAUUAUGUAAAAACUAUAUACCAGAACACAACCAAAAAAAUGUCAAAAGGACAUAGAGUGGGAAUCCUGGGUAUGUCAGAUUUUGAAAACAGAUUAUUUUUGCUAAACUUAUAACAGAUAAGGGGAAAGAAUAUACCAAGAAAUGGGAGAUUUUAACUAGUCCUUAAUGAAUGAAACUAAUUUUUUGAAUUUCUAGUGUCUAGCUAGUGACUUUGUAAGGAUUUAGUGAAUAUAUAAAGUUAACAAGAUAAUAGAAAAGGACAUGGGUGGCUGGUAUCCUCAAAAUUCUGAGGCCUAGGAGAAAUGCUACCAGUAAAUUUGGAUGGGCCCAAGAAUAGGUUUUAAUCAAGAAUUGCAUAUAAGGCAUUGCUGAGGUGUAAUUAACUACAUGGGAAUUAGUUGUGUUACUAAAGAUAUCCUUCAUUUGAGAGAUGUUUUAGAUCUGUACCUGUAAUCAAUUAUAGAACUCAUUCCCCUAAAUUAAUUUAGAAGAAAGUGUAAAGUUCAAGUAAUUCCCACAUAACCCUACUUAUACAUUUUUAUAUACUUAGACUUGGAUAACUUAAUUUUGUUUUAAGGAUCCCCUUAAAUGUGGCAGCUUGCCCCUUCAAUCAUUUUCAGAAAUUUGUCAUAAUUGUCUAUACCUAAUCCCUUGUGACAAGUAUUCUAAAUAUUUCUCCUUCCAUCAUCCCCCAUUAGAACAUAAAUCAGGUCAUUCUUCAAAAGGUAUCUGAUGUUGAUCUGGACCAAUGUCCUCCAGGAAGUUGAGUGGAAGACAACUGAAUAAAAUUUGUGGUAGAAUAGAUAAAAGAUGCAUAUAAUUAGGAAAAUAUUUUCUUAAAACUCUUACUAAAGCAAUGCAAGUAUCAGUGAAAUAAAAAAAACCAAACGGGGAAGUGACAGCAGCAGAAAAUAUUCAAGAAAUAGAAACACUCCAGCUAUUAAGAACUCAGUAUUUGAUUAAAAUUUCUGAGAAAACAGUAAUUAUAUUAUGUGACUUUAAUAGUCAAACACUACAGAAAUAUAAGGGAGAUUAAAGGUUAACCUGCAAGGAAUUGAAGAUUAUUUAAUAGAAUUUAAAGGUUUAAUUAGAAUGAAAACAUUACAUUUUGGUAACAAAUUUCCUGAUAGACAUCAAUUCCUUUGUUUCUAUGUGUUUAUAGGGAAUUAAUUCCAAUUCCAGGUUAGAAGAAAAAGCCAUUCUCUGGUUGACAAAAAUUGAACUAUAUGAGUAGAUUCUCAAGGAUGACUCCUUGGAAGAUGGUAACAUCAGGAACACUGAUAAAAACAAGAGCUGAAUUGGGGUCUGCUUAUGUGAGAGAAACUAGGGGAACCUUUAGAGGGAGAAGUAAAAUACCCAAAGCCUCUGAUCUCAGCAGUAGGAUGUAUGCUACAAAAAUAUUCUUGGAAAAUUAAAUGGAAGAGCAGUCAUUUUAAUCUCGGGGAAUCAAGCACCUAAGAGGAGCAUGUCUUGGCUAUUUGGGAGAAAGAGAAUAUUAUUUCAAAAUGGACAUCUUACAAAAUGGAUGAAGAAGAUUAAAGUUAGAGGAAGAAAAGCCAAGAUGACAGAUUUUGAUCAUUAUAAAGUCAUGGAGGCAAGGCAAAUUAGAAGCGAAAGAGUUAUCAAGUAUGACAUGAAGAAACUCUUUAAGAAUCAUCUACCCCAAAAGCAACUCCUACAGCAGGAUCUACCCAGAAGAUAGCAGCUGUCCCAAAAAUCGUUGUCAAGAUCUAUACUGAGAAGACCCUGGCCAUGAACCUCUUUUUCUAUAUAUCUAAAUAUAUCUAGCUUGGAAGGUACAAUCCUGGAAGGCAGAUAUCUUCAAAGGCCAAAAUUUCUCAUCCUAAAAUUACUCCCCCCAAAUUUUUUUUUUAAUUUUGUAUUUUAGAGUAAUAACAAUCCCCCAUGAAGAGGGUGUUGAAAAACACAGGACUCAUUUAGGAAUGCAUAGCUGAGUUAUGAGGUAUAUGAAUCAAUUGGCAAGAGAAAUCCAAAACAUCAAAGAAAUCUAAAUAAAAGAGAAAAGAUAACUUCUGGAAGAAAUAUGGACUAUCAAAGUCUUAUCUAUAAAAAUUCUAAGUAAAAGAAAAAUAAAUUUAUUACAGGUCCUUGAAUCAUGGCCCAAUUAAAGUAAUUUCUAUUCUACAAGUCUGUAGGACAAAAUGAAGCAAUAUUUUAAUUACACCAUUUGCAGCCAAGACUAUAGGAAGUUGCCACACUAUGAAAGACAGAAUAGGGACUAGAUUAUAGGAGCCAGGUAGGAGCUGAAUUUGAGUUACUUGAUAGAAUGUGGGAUGAGAAAGACCUGCCUCCGACACUGUCAAAACAGCUGCAACCUUGAACCCGAAACAAGUUCAAGUCCUCUUGUCUUGGCUCAGAAUUCCAUCAAUUCCAUUGGGGGGAUUGGUUGGUCUCUGACCUUGUGCUUGAUUGGCAAUAUGCAGUUUUAAUGGUUCUUUUUGUAUUUUCUUGUCCUUGAAUGAGACAGAAUCAUUAAGCAAAGUCCUGUAAUUUAAAAAAAAAAUAAUUUCUGGGGAGGCAGAGUCAAGAUGUCAGCUUAGAAGCAGCAGAAGUUCAGACCUCUGAAAUCUCUUCCAUACCAAUCACAAGCUGAAUGCUCCUAGGGGAUUGAAAUUCAAACUUAAUAGGACGGAGGCGGGGAACCCUCCUUCUGAACUUAAAUCAAAAGGUAAGCCCCCCCCAAAAGCUAGAAUCCGAGAACACUCGGGUCUAAGAAGGCAGAAGGAAGGUCCCAGC
This is a long non-coding RNA of Monodelphis domestica (gray short-tailed opossum), 11818 nucleotides long. RefSeq lists it as uncharacterized. Lineage: Eukaryota; Metazoa; Chordata; Mammalia; Didelphimorphia; Didelphidae. The record is from RefSeq and is a predicted model, not a curated record.